This 408-nucleotide ribosomal RNA is filed under the name uncultured bacterium. RNAcentral describes it as "partial 16S ribosomal RNA". It matches the Rfam family "Bacterial small subunit ribosomal RNA", at positions 29 to 526 of the family's 1533-position model. The record is from RNAcentral.
AGUGAACGCUGGCGGCGUGCCUAAUACAUGCAUGUCGAACGUAGUGGCGCACGGGAGAGUAAUGUAUAGCUAAUCUGCCCUACACUAGAGGACAACAGUUGGAAACGGCAGCUAAUACUCUAUAGUGUAGGAUGAGGCUAUAUUGUAUCAGCUUGUUUGUGAGGUAAUGGCUCACCAAGGCUAUGACGCAUAACUGGUCUGAGAGGUUGAUCAGCCACACUGGAACUGAGACACUGUCCAGACUCCUACGGGCGGCAGCCGUAUGGAAUAUUGCUCAAUGGGGGAAUCCCUGACGCAGCAACGCCGCGUGGAUGAUGACACUUUUCGGAGCGUAAACUCCUUUUGUUAGGGAAGCGGUACCUAACGAAUAAGCACCGGCUACCUCCGUGCCAGCAGCCGCGGUAAUAC